AUGUCAAGCCCGUUCGGCGCUGGCGGGCACGACUGGUUCAUCAAGUGCUACCCGAACGGCGUUCCGGGAGGGGCGGGGAACCAUAUGUCCCUCUUCCUCAUGCACGACAGCCACGCCAAGACCGGCGAUGCCACGGCGGCUUACAAGAUGAGCAUACUCGACAAGGCCUUGAAACCAUCGUGCACUAAAUUCGAACAUGAGCGCCACUUCAGGGGUGAUGGAUGGGGCUGGACAGAGUUCAUGGGGCUCCAAGAUCUGGACAGGGACAAGUACCUUGUGGAAGACUGUCUGUCCAUCCUCUGCGACGUCAUCACCGCCGACGGGCUGCGUGCUGCGGCGGAGCAGCCGCCUCCGCCUCCGCCGUUCGACUUGCGCGGCUUGCAACUCGUGGAAGCCAUCUGGAACAGGGAGACGGCGGACGUGACGAUCCACCUCGGGGACGGAGAGACGAUCGCGGCGCACCGGUGGGUGCUCGAGGCCCGGUCACCCGUCCUCAAGGCGGAUCUCGCCCUCGCCUCGAACAACGCCACCGCUGACCAUCUACGCCUGCUCGUGAACGACAUGGACGCCGACGUGUACAAGUCGCUGCUCCGGUUCAUCUACACCGACUCACAGCCCCCCGAGCUCGAGACGGCGUCGCCAAAGAAUGUGGAGCGGCCGCUCUACGCAGCGGACAGGUUUCAGCUGGAAAAGCUGAAGCUCCUCUGCGUGGAGGGACUGUGCAAGAAAAUCGACGCCAGCUCCGUGGCGGCCGCCCUGGCACUGGCCGAGCGGCACGGCUGCCCGACGCUGAGGGAGGCGUGCUGGCAGUUCCUCGUGAAGAACACGCCGACACAUGAGCAACCAAUCAGUACCAAUGUAUUUUGA
Molecule: ribosomal RNA, 867 nt
Filed under: Triticum aestivum (bread wheat)
Lineage: Eukaryota; Viridiplantae; Streptophyta; Magnoliopsida; Poales; Poaceae
Description: partial small subunit ribosomal RNA
Source: RNAcentral